RNAcentral lists this ribosomal RNA (1394 nucleotides) under Furculitermes winifredae. RNAcentral's name for it is "16S ribosomal RNA". The stretch from base 876 to 1281 matches the Rfam family "Bacterial large subunit ribosomal RNA", at positions 2049 to 2651 of the family's 2925-position model. Lineage: Eukaryota; Metazoa; Arthropoda; Insecta; Blattodea; Termitidae. The record is from RNAcentral.
GCAAUUCGGCAUGAUCUGAUUUUUGAUUGUCUUGUUGAUUUAUUUGUGGUGUGUUAUUUUUUAUUGAAGGAUCAUUGGUGGUUGUUGUAGAUUAUCUUGAUACAAUUUUUAUACGAUAGUGUAUUUGUACUGUGAGGGGUAGAAUUUUAUUACAAGUUUAUUUAGGAAGCUGAUUUUGUUUGUUGUACCUUGUGUAUCAGGGUUCAUUGAAAUUUAUUAUUUAUUUUUAUUUCCCGAUUUUAAAGGAGUUAAUGAUUUAUGUUAGUUACUGUUUCAUCAGUAUUGAUAAUGGGUUAUUGGUAGUGAAAUGUUACUCGUCUUUAGUGGUUUCUGGUUUUUCAAGAAAUGAAUUUAAUUCAUACAUCUUAUUUAAUGUUUAUUUUUUUAUUAUUUAUUUUUAUUUGAUGUUAAGAUUAAGGGGGAUUAGCUCUUUAUUUUAUUGUUAUAAUUGUUGUUGAGGAUUAAUAGUUUUGUGGAUUUUAUAGUGAUUUUCGGUUUGAUUAUGUUAAAAUUUUACUUGGUUUUGUUUGUGAAAUUUCAUUUAAUUUAAUUGGUUUAUUGGAAUGUUUUCUUUACUUUGUUUUGUAAAGUAAUUAUUGUGGAAUUAGUAAAUUUUUUUUAUUGUUCUGUUAAUUGAUUAAUGUUGGAAUUCCUUUUUAGGAAUUCGGCAAAAAUUCAUGUCCGCCUGUUUAACAAAAACAUCUUUUCUUGUUAGUUUUUGAAGUAUGGCCUGCCCACUGACAUUUAGGUUGAAGGGCCGCGGUAUUUUGACCGUGCAAAGGUAGCAUAAUCAUUAGUUCUUUAAUUGUGAUCUGGUAUGAAUGGCUUGACGAGACAUGAGCUGUCUUUAGGGGAUUGCUUAUUGAAUUUGGUUUUUGAGUUAAAAUUCUUAAAUGUUUUUAUGGGACGAGAAGACCCUAUAGAGUUUAACAUUUGUUCUUGUUCUUAUUUGAAGUGGUUUGUAUUAAUUGUUUGAUGAGGGCACAUGUUUUGUUGGGGUGAUGGGAGGAAUUUGUUUAACUCCUCUUUGGUUUAGAUUAUAUAUUUAUACAUAUUGGUUUUGAUCCAUUUAUUUUGAUUACAAGAUUAAAUUACCUUAGGGAUAACAGCGUUAUCUCCCUUGAGAGUUCUUAUUGGCGGGGGGGUUUGCGACCUCGAUGUUGGAUUAAGGUGAAUUUUUGGUGCAGGAGCUGAAAUUGAUUAGGUCUGUUCGACCUUUAAAAUCUUACAUGAUCUGAGUUCAGACCGGCGUGAGCCAGGUUGGUUUCUAUCUAUAAUAAUGUUUUAUAUCUUAGUACGAGAGGACCGGGUAUUUGGAAUAAUUUUGGUUAGUGUGGUUGGUGUUAAUUUGGUUACUAUUUUGGCAGAUAAGUGCAUUGGAUUUAGAAUCUAUA